AGCUCAGUUGGUAGAGCACCUGAUUUGUAAUCGGUCAGGUUUUGGCGGAAAUCCGCC
RNAcentral lists this transfer RNA (57 nucleotides) under Novosphingobium silvae. RNAcentral describes it as "Novosphingobium sp. FGD1 tRNA-Thr". Lineage: Bacteria; Pseudomonadati; Pseudomonadota; Alphaproteobacteria; Sphingomonadales; Sphingomonadaceae. The record is from RNAcentral.